RNAcentral lists this ribosomal RNA (355 nucleotides) under uncultured Racocetra. RNAcentral describes it as "SSU rRNA". It matches the Rfam family "Eukaryotic small subunit ribosomal RNA", at positions 569 to 929 of the family's 1831-position model. The record is from RNAcentral. Lineage: Eukaryota; Fungi; Glomeromycota; Glomeromycetes; Diversisporales; Gigasporaceae.
AGCAGCCGCGGUAAUUCCAGCUCCAAUAGCGUAUAUUAAAGUUGUUGCAGUUAAAAAGCUCGUAGUUGAAUUUCGGGGUUCUACCGUUGGUCGGGCUUUGUCUGUACUGGCGUGUAGAAUUUCUACCUUCUGGGGAACCGUCAUGUUAUUAAUUUAACGUGGUGGGAAACCAGGACCUUUACCUUGAAAAAAUUAGAGUGUUUAAAGCAGGCUUUUGCUUGAAUACAUUAGCAUGGAAUAAUAAAAUAGGACGGCAUGAUUCUAUUUUGUUGGUUUCUAGGAUCACCGUAAUGAUUAAUAGGGAUAGUUGGGGGCAUUAGUAUUCAAUUGUCAGAGGUGAAAUUCUUGGAUUUAU